Suricata suricatta (meerkat) is the source of this 242-nucleotide long non-coding RNA. RefSeq lists it as uncharacterized. NCBI's taxonomy places the organism in Eukaryota, Metazoa, Chordata, Mammalia, Carnivora, Herpestidae. The record is from RefSeq and is a predicted model, not a curated record. The transcript is spliced from 3 exons.
AGCCUGAAGCGACCCAAUUUAAUUAAGGAAAUCAAGGAAAUGAUGAGGAAACCAGGUACGAAGGCCAUGCAAAGAUCGUGCAAGAAUUCAAGUCCAAACUACUAUGUAAACAGUUAUAGGAGAGAGGGCUCGAGGGCUCAGAAGUCUGUGAGCAGAGAGACAGGUUUUCAAAAUGAUGGCACACGUUGAUUCAGUGAAAGGAGAGCAUGAGCAGGGGAGGGUCAGGAGAGAAAGGAAGAAAC